AGAGUUUAUAGGCAAAAUGUUUGGGUUUUUACUGUGUUCAUACUUCAUACAUUUAAUUUUUUUGAAAGUCUUUGCAACACUGUUUCACAUGAUUGAAAUCUUUUGUUCAGAAUAUCAUACAUGUUUUCAGGUGGAAGAGUUUAUAUCAAUAAGGUUUUACCUUCUCUUCCCCCUCUCCAUAGUAUUUUUUGAAGUCCUUGAUCUGAGCUGUAUUGUUUAAAAAAAAAUUAUCUAACAUUUAGAAUAUUUGUCAUGCUGAUAGAAUGCCACCCAUCUGUUUUGCACUUAACCAAAAAGUGAAUUUCUGACCUUCUUUGUGGGAACAGAGUUUUAUCCUAAGUCUUAUUACAAAUACGAAGCAGGAAAAACAAAGUUGAGCUGGAGAGAACAAGGUCAAAUAGCUGUACUAAAUGUUCUCUUUAUUUCUAUUACCGUAAGGCAUUUUAGUGUUGUUUUCUGCACUACCGGAGUAUUAGUCAUUAUUUCUUCUGUCUUCAAAGAGUAAUUGGAAUUAUGCUUUAUUCUGAUUCACUUUAGUAAUAAUCUGUUCCUCCUUAUUUGUGUAGCAAAAGAAAAGCUAGAGAAAAUCAGAAAAAAGAUUGAAGCAAAUCUGGAGACAGGAAUGCAGGCUGUCUUAGGGAUGUAAAAUAGGAUAUAACUUCAGCUCAUCUCUGUGUAUGCUCUGACACUGAGACAAAGUGAGCAUCAUCAGUGCUGUUACGAGAUUGUUCAUGUGGCAGUGGCAGUAUUCUCUUGGAGCACGUUUUCCAUGCCAGUUUUCAGGGAACUGCUUAGAAUGAUAGAGGGGAGGCAGCAGUGCAGAGAGAGAGGAGAUGUCAGCAGUGAGAAAGCUCUUCCUGUGUCAGAAAGGGUCAGCGUGUGUGACACCGGUAGAGUAGAUGGAGCCAUGGCUGCAAGAAACAACAGCCUAGUGAGCAGCAUUCCAGCCAAGCCCCAGUUUUCAGCAUGGCAGUGGACUGGCUCGGCUUUGGCUACGCCGCCCUGGUGGCAUCAGGAGGGCUUAUUGGCUAUGUAAAAGCAGGUACGGUGCGGGAAGGUGCUUGUAUCUCCCGUCGUCUCCCCCUACUCCCCAAGAACUUUGUGAGCUGGGCGGCUUUUUUUGAAAGCCGCCUAUGUCGAAGCUCACACAGAUGUAAAGUUUAUCAGUUUGUGCCACGUGCUGA
Molecule: long non-coding RNA, 1184 nt
Filed under: Buteo japonicus
Lineage: Eukaryota; Metazoa; Chordata; Aves; Accipitriformes; Accipitridae
Description: lncRNA (ENSBJAG00000004468.1)
Source: RNAcentral